This 406-nucleotide ribosomal RNA is filed under the name uncultured bacterium. Its description in RNAcentral is "partial 16S ribosomal RNA". It matches the Rfam family "Bacterial small subunit ribosomal RNA", at positions 30 to 526 of the family's 1533-position model. The record is from RNAcentral.
AUUGAACGCUGGCGGCAGGCCUAACACAUGCAAGUCGAACGAGUGGCGGACGGGAGAGUCAUGUCUGGGAAACUCCUUGAUGGAGGGGGUUAACUACUGGAACCGGUAGCUAAUACCGCAUACCAUCGGAUGUGCCCAGAUGGGCUUAGCUAGUAGGUGGGGUAACGGCUGACCUAGGCGACGAUCCCUAGCUGAUCUGAGAGGAUGACCAGCCAAACUGGGACUGAGACACGGUCCAGACUCCUACGGGAGGCAGCAGUGGGGAAUAUUGCGCAAUGGGCGCAAGCCUGAUGCAGCCAUGCCGCGUGUAUGAAGAAGGCCUUCGGGUUGUAAAGUACUUUCGGCGGAGAGGCGUUACCCGCAGAAAAAGCACCGGCUAACUCCGUGCCAGCAGCCGCGGUAAUUC